This 1324-nucleotide long non-coding RNA is filed under the name Setaria viridis. Its description in RNAcentral is "long non-coding RNA (SVIR_LNC009177)". Lineage: Eukaryota; Viridiplantae; Streptophyta; Magnoliopsida; Poales; Poaceae. The record is from RNAcentral.
UGUGCGAUGCUUGCAUGUGUAUGCGAUAUUGUGAUUAGGAUUCUUGGCGUGAGUGGGGAUAAAACCGGCAGGAGAAGGUGAUUUUGGGAUAUUUGGCGAGGGUGAGCUUUAGACAACCCAAUCAUCAUACGUCCACUGGGUCUUCGUUAGAUUGGGGGCUUGGGGUUCGUUCUCAGAUGUUCCCUAUUUUGUACCUGUUGCGGGUACACGGAUGACGGAUAAGGAGCAUAGGAGUUGGAGAUGGUAGCACCAGUAAUGGGUGAGUUGCGUCCGCCGUGGUAAGGCACUUUCAUGGAAGAUUAGGAACUCGCCCCGGUCUGAAGCUAAGUGGGUUGCUAUACUUCACAUGAAUAUGUAAAUGUGCACACCACUCGCCGAUAUGGGUAAGGCCUCGGUCGAGACUAGCAAGUGUGACACCAUACCCGCCGUAGUUAGAGUACGUGUAUGGGGGAGUGGUGCUGACCUUUUUCCCCCCUGAUUUGCUUUUUCCCCCGAUUGGCUCCGGUAGGAGUGCUUCACAGUACUGGAGUGUUCCACUGCGGGGGAUCGCAUCCAAGCCCGGUUGCGAGGUGGUAUCAUAACUCCCAGAUUCUUUGCUCUGUAGGGUGAUGUUUAGACGGCUAGCUACUAGCUGCGCUCAUCCCGGGUUGGGAGACACCCCCUCCUCUAGGGGUGGUCGAGGUGUACACACUCUGCAGGGUUCCUAAUCUUCCAUGAAAGUGCCUUACCAUGGCGGACAACCCUGUAACAUCACUGCCCUCCAUUGUUUUGGGAUUCUCUACCUCCCCCUUUUAGCUACUUGUGAGUGUGGUGAGCCGCAAUUGCAGACGGGGAGAGGGGAAGUUGCUUCCUUUCCCUUUGAGAUCACGCUAUGGUUGUUGAGAGGCGAAGAGAGGGAGUCUUCACCUCGACCCUAGUUGGAGAUAGGAUGAUGGUGAUAGGUACCCUAUCGCGGCAGGUGUACCCGAUGUGUUGAGAGAUUUGGGAUGGUGGCUAUGGAGUUUAUCUUUAUACUUGCUGCUGCUAUAGGAAAACCCGGACCUUUUCCUUGUCUACUUUUUACCCCUUAGCAUUAGGCCACAUAAAGUUUGCAUACGAAUGGUGCUGUGGAGCUAUCCCAAUUCCUUGGGAACAGCUCGUGAGUUUGCAGGUUACGUUUCCGACUUCGACAACAACUACGACGAUUGGUACGAUUGAGGGUUGCAGUGCUACACUCAGGGAUGCCUGUGGGGAUGAUCGUGAAGAUGGAGAAGUAGCCAGAACCUAAAUUCUGCUGUGUUGGUUUUAUUCAUCUUGUUUAGCCCAAUGGGUUGUAUCAGAUCGU